GUGGGAUGGGUGAUUAUAUCUGCCAUUGAUCAUAUUUUGAGCAUUAUGCACUUUCUACGCUGGCAGUUUCAGAUAAACCGACUAUAUAUCGGUAAUCAGAAUAUGUCGAUCAUAUGUCGGUAGUUGUGGAAAUUCGAAUGAGCAUCGAUCGGUAACUCUGAUAUACCGAUGGUCAUCGAUCUGAGAUCAACCGAGUUGUCAUGGCUGAGUUUGUUGA
Molecule: long non-coding RNA, 217 nt
Filed under: Elaeis guineensis (African oil palm)
Lineage: Eukaryota; Viridiplantae; Streptophyta; Magnoliopsida; Arecales; Arecaceae
Description: long non-coding RNA (EGUI_LNC015945)
Source: RNAcentral